CAUCAUCUUCAUUAUCACCUCCAUCUUCACCAUUGGGGGCCUUCAUCAUCUCCACCACCAUCAUCAUCAUCAUCAUCAUCGGAGCCUUCAUCACUUCCGCCAUCAUCAUCAUCAUCUUCAUCACCUCCACCAUCAUCAUCCUCGGGGCCUUCAUCGCCAUUUUUGGGUUCUUCCUCCUCAUCCUCGGGGCCUUCACCAUUGGGGCCUUCAUCGCCUCCACCAUCAUCAUCUUCAUCAUCAUCAUCGAAGCCUUCAUCACCUCCACCAUCAUCAUCCUCAGGGCCUUCAUCGUCGUUUCCGGCCUCUCCCUCCUCCUCCUCCUCCUCAGCCCCUCCCUUCAAUCUUCAUCCCCUCCUCCUCCUCCAUCAUCAUCAUCAGCGGGGCCUUCAUCGCCUCCACCACCACCAUCAUCAUCAUCAUUGCCUCCAUCUCCAGCACUGGGGCCUUCAUCACCACCACCAUCAUCAUCAUCACCUCCAUCUUCA
RNAcentral lists this long non-coding RNA (485 nucleotides) under Zonotrichia albicollis (white-throated sparrow). Its description in RNAcentral is "lncRNA (ENSZALG00000001148.1)". Lineage: Eukaryota; Metazoa; Chordata; Aves; Passeriformes; Passerellidae. The record is from RNAcentral.